AGCCAUAUGAGUUUUGUGUUUGUGUAUGUGAACUAGGUAUAUAAUGAAUAUUCGGCUAUGAAGGUUAAAGGUUAAGUCAUAGGAAUUUUGGUGAUAUACAUAUUCGAUAAUUAGGGUUAUAUGUACUUUGGCUAUGUGGGUUAUGUGUUAAGGUAAGUUACUUAUUUGAUAUGUGUAUUCGGUCAUAAAGGUGUACAUGAAGAAAUGUUAAAUUAAUUGUAUUAAAUUGCUUAAUGUGAUUAAAAAUGUGUAUGACCAUUUUGUAUUUGAGCUAAAAGUAGCUAUAUGACCUAUUUAAUUUCUU
RNAcentral lists this long non-coding RNA (304 nucleotides) under Gossypium barbadense (sea-island cotton). RNAcentral describes it as "long non-coding RNA (GBAR_LNC003108)". Lineage: Eukaryota; Viridiplantae; Streptophyta; Magnoliopsida; Malvales; Malvaceae. The record is from RNAcentral.